Molecule: transfer RNA, 69 nt
Filed under: Kordiimonadaceae bacterium
Lineage: Bacteria; Pseudomonadati; Pseudomonadota; Alphaproteobacteria; Kordiimonadales; Kordiimonadaceae
Description: tRNA-Met
Source: RNAcentral
AGCUCAGUGGUAGAGCCGACCGCUCAUAACGGUCUGGUCGCUGGUUCAAUCGUGUGCGCCCGGUAAUUC